CGUAGGGUGCGAGCGUUAAUCGGAAUUACUGGGCGUAAAGCGUGCGCAGGCGGUUUUGUAAGACAGGCGUGAAAUCCCCGGGCUCAACCUGGGAACUGCGCUUGUGACUGCAAGGCUAGAGUACGGCAGAGGGGGGUGGAAUUCCACGUGUAGCAGUGAAAUGCGUAGAGAUGUGGAGGAACACCAAUGGCGAAGGCAGCCCCCUGGGUCGAUACUGACGCUCAUGCACGAAAGCGUGGGUAGCAAACAGGAUUAGAUACCCUGGUAGUCCACGCCCUAAACGAUGCCAACUAGGUGUUGGGUGGGUAAAACCAUUUAGUACCGGAGCUAACGCGUGAAGUUGACCGCCUGGGGAGUACGGCCGCAAGGUUA
This 372-nucleotide ribosomal RNA is filed under the name uncultured organism. RNAcentral describes it as "bacterial SSU rRNA". It matches the Rfam family "Bacterial small subunit ribosomal RNA", at positions 526 to 896 of the family's 1533-position model. The record is from RNAcentral.